GCAAACUUGGUCAUUUAGAGGAAGUAAAAGUCGUAACAAGGUUUCCGUAGGUGAACCUGCGGAAGGAUCAUUACCAAAACAAAGCGAACUUGGCCUUCGGGUCUCGAGAGCUUCAACCUUUUGUGAACCAAACCUUUAUUUUCGCUUCGGCAGCAAUGGCCUCUGCCAUGUCAGCCUGCCGUUAGCACCAAACCAAAACUUGCAGUAUCUCAUGUCUGAAAUCAAAUUUUUGAAUUAAAUCAAAACUUUCAACAACGGAUCUCUUGGUUCCCGCAUCGAUGAAGAACGCAGC
Molecule: unclassified non-coding RNA, 292 nt
Filed under: uncultured fungus
Lineage: Eukaryota; Fungi
Description: partial contains small subunit ribosomal RNA, internal transcribed spacer 1, and 5.8S ribosomal RNA
Rfam family: Eukaryotic small subunit ribosomal RNA (bases 1-73)
Source: RNAcentral